Molecule: ribosomal RNA, 488 nt
Filed under: uncultured bacterium
Lineage: Bacteria
Description: bacterial SSU rRNA
Rfam family: Bacterial small subunit ribosomal RNA
Source: RNAcentral
GAUGAACGCUAGCGACAGGCCUAACACAUGCAAGUCGAGGGGCAGCACGGUGUAGCAAUACACGGGUGGCGACCGGCGCACGGGUGAGUAACGCGUAUGCAACCUGCCUACUACAAGGGGAUAACCCGUUGAAAGACGGACUAAUACCCUAUAACACAGGGAAUCCGCAUGGAUAUAUUUGUUAAAGAUUUAUCGGUAGUAGAUGGGCAUGCGUUCCAUUAGCUUGUUGGUGAGGUAACGGCUCACCAAGGCAACGAUGGAUAGGGGAACUGAGAGGUUGAUCCCCCGCACUGGAACUGAGACACGGUCCAGACUCCUACGGGAGGCAGCAGUGAGGAAUAUUGGUCAAUGGACGAGAGUCUGAACCAGCCAAGUCGCGUGAAGGAAGACGGCCCUACGGGUUGUAAACUUCUUUUGUAAGGGAAUAAAUAGUCUUACGCGCUAAGACGUUGCAGGUACCUUACGAAUAAGGAUCGGCUAACUCCGUG